GAAGUAUAGUGGAGACCGAAAUGGAGGAAGAAAAAAAAGAGCAACAGAAAAAGAAAAGCAGAAGCCUCAAGCAGAUUCCAGCAGCUGUGAAAGUGAAUGAGUAUGCUGCUACUUCUCCUCCGCUCCGUCUUCAUCAUCAGAGCCACACACAAUCUCUAAUUUGCUUCAAAAAACUCUGCAGAAUAUGGAAGAGAAUCUGCACAUUUUCUCAUUAAACUGCAAUAAGUUAAUUUU
Molecule: long non-coding RNA, 234 nt
Organism: Carassius carassius (crucian carp)
Lineage: Eukaryota; Metazoa; Chordata; Actinopteri; Cypriniformes; Cyprinidae
Exons: 3
Source: RefSeq, a predicted model, not a curated record